RNAcentral lists this ribosomal RNA (463 nucleotides) under uncultured bacterium. RNAcentral describes it as "partial 16S ribosomal RNA". It matches the Rfam family "Bacterial small subunit ribosomal RNA", at positions 28 to 507 of the family's 1533-position model. The record is from RNAcentral.
GAUGAACGCUGACAGAAUGCUUAACACAUGCAAGUCUUUCGCGAAGCUGUGCUUGCACAGCCUAGCCAAGGCGGACGGGUGAGUAACGCGUAAGGAACUUGCUCCGCAGUCAGGGAUAACAGACGGAAACGACUGAUAAGACCUGGUAAAGUCAGGCGCACCCAUGUCCAGCCUGAUGAAAAGAGAUGCCGCAGGGGAGUCUUGCCUCCUAUUAGCUUGUUGGUGGGGUAACGGCCCACCAAGGCGAUGAUAGGUAGCCGGCCUGAGAGGGUGGACGGCCACAGGGGGAGUGAGAUGCGGCCCUUACUCCUAGGGGAGGGAGGAGUGGGGAAUAGUGGAAAGUGGGGGCAACCCUGAUACAGCAAUUCUGUGUGCAAGAUGAAGGUUUUCGGAUUGUAAAGUGUUUUCAGGAGGGAAGAAAAAAAUGACGGUACCUGCAGAAGAAGCGACGGCUAAAUACGUG